GGGAAUAUUGCGCAAUGGGCGAAAGCCUGACGCAGCGACGCCGCGUGGGGGAUGAAGGCCUUCGGGUUGUAAACCCCUUUCGGCAGGGACGAAGCGAAAGUGACGGUACCUGCAGAAGAAGCGCCGGCUAACUACGUGCCAGCAGCCGCGGUAACACGUAGGGCGCAAGCGUUGUCCGGAAUCAUUGGGCGUAAAGAGCUCGUAGGUGGGUUGUCACGUCUGCUGUGAAAACUCGGGGCUUAACCCCGAGCUUGCAGUGGAUACGGGCAGACUAGAGGUAGGUAGGGGAGAAUGGAAUUCCCGGUGUAGCGGUGAAAUGCGCAGAUAUCGGGAGGAACACCGGUGGCGAAGGCGGUUCUCUGGGCCUUACCUGACACUGAGGAGCGAAAGCGUGGGGAGCGAAC
RNAcentral lists this ribosomal RNA (404 nucleotides) under uncultured bacterium. RNAcentral's name for it is "bacterial SSU rRNA". It matches the Rfam family "Bacterial small subunit ribosomal RNA", at positions 357 to 773 of the family's 1533-position model. The record is from RNAcentral.